This 312-nucleotide ribosomal RNA is filed under the name Triticum aestivum (bread wheat). Its description in RNAcentral is "partial small subunit ribosomal RNA". Lineage: Eukaryota; Viridiplantae; Streptophyta; Magnoliopsida; Poales; Poaceae. The record is from RNAcentral.
AUGGGUGGGAAGCUGCUGCAGCUGAUGUCGAGGCUCCACCUGGCCAAGGGCGGCGGCGGCGGCGGGAAGGGCGGCGGCGCGGUGCCGAGGGGCCACUUCGCGGUGUACGUCGGCGAGGCGAGGGCGCGGUUCGUGAUCCCGACGGCGUACCUCAGGCACCCGUCGUUCGUUGCGCUGCUGGAGAGCGCCGAGGAGGAGUUUGGCUUCGACCACCACGGCGGCGGGAUUAUCAUACCGUGCUCUGAGAGCGACUUCGUUGAGCUCGUCGGCAGCCUGAGCUCCUCGUCGCCGUCAUCGUCGUGGCGGCACUGA